Regulatory RNA element from Clostridium sp. 7_2_43FAA, 102 nucleotides. It matches the Rfam family "Purine riboswitch aptamer". Rfam says of the family: Riboswitches are metabolite binding domains within certain messenger RNAs that serve as precision sensors for their corresponding targets. Allosteric rearrangement of mRNA structure is mediated by ligand binding, and this results in modulation of gene expression. Lineage: Bacteria; Bacillati; Bacillota; Clostridia; Eubacteriales; Clostridiaceae. The record is from Rfam.
AAAAAAUAAACAUAUAGUAUUCGUAUAUGCUUGAAGAUAUGGUUCAAGUGUUUCUACUAGGAAACCGUAAAUAUCCUAACUACGAAGAUUCGAUUAUUGCCA